AAUCUAUCGCCGCUGCUAAGCUAUCCCUCGCUGCUAAGCUAUCCCUCGCUGCUAAGCUAUCCCUCGCUGCUAAGCUAUCCCUCGCUGCUAAGCUAUCCCUCGCUGCUAAGCUAUCCCUCGCUGCUAAGCUAUCCCUCGCUGCUAAGCUAUCCCUCGCUGGCUAAGCUAUCCCUCGCUGGCUAUCCCUCACUGCUAAGCUAUCCCUCGCUGGCUAUCCCUCACUGCUAAGCUAUCCCUCACUACUAAGCUAUCUAUCGCUGCUAAUCUAUCGCUGCCAAUCUAUCUAUCGCUGCCAAUCUAUCUAUCGCUGCCAAUUUAUCUACCACUGCCAAUCUAUCUAUCGCUGCUAAUCUAUCGAUGCUGUCAAUCUAACUAUCGCUGCUAAUCUAUCGCUGCUAAUCUAUCGCUGCUAAUCUAUCGCUGCCAAUCUAUCUACCGCGGCGAAUCUAUCUAUUGCUGCCAACCAACCUACCUACCACUGCCAAUCUAUCUAUCGCUGCCAAUCUAUCGCUGCCAAUCUAUCGCUGCCAACCUAUCUACUGCAGUGAAUCUAUCUAUCACUAUCAUUACUAGUUCAAAAUAGAACUAGAGCAUAAAUACACUAAACUUCUUUUGAUAGAUAAUGAUUUUUGAUAAUGCUCAUAGCAUUAUAUCAUCUAUAUAGGGUAAAUCAUGGUCUCAUUUGGUCCCAUUUUACAAAAUGGGAUCAAAUGGGAUCAGAAUUAGUAAUUUAUAAGAAGAACAUGAUCUGUGUAAGAGAUGGUUGUAGGUAUAAUUAUGAGAGUAGUGUGAAGUAUGCAUGUAG
RNAcentral lists this small RNA (805 nucleotides) under Histoplasma ohiense. RNAcentral's name for it is "hypothetical lncRNA". The record is from RNAcentral. Lineage: Eukaryota; Fungi; Ascomycota; Eurotiomycetes; Onygenales; Ajellomycetaceae.